GUCUUUAAAGCUGUUGAUGCAUGUAAGAAUGUUCUGAGAGGUUUACAUGACAGCAAGAUUGCCCAAAGGGAGCUGGAUCGGCGAUCACAAUAGCUGUCACAAUUGUAGAGAUUCUGAAGAAAAAAGGGCUGGCUAUUGAGAAGAGGAUUUUGAUGUCUAUAGUCGACAUGAAGGAUGAAUCUAAGGGUCAUCUCAUUCCAAAAGCGAAGAUUGAGGUAUUGCUGGGGAAGACUGAGAAAUUCGAUGAUCUGAUGGUUGUCGUUGCUGCCAAAGGGAGGCAGUUGGAGACAAUAAAGCAUGAUGGCAAACCAUAGUUCUGGAAUUCCAUCAUAUUUUGAUUUUCAUUUCUUUUUUGCUCCUGGUGUCCUGUUUAAGUGAUAGAGGUUGGGGAAUUUUCAAGUAGAGUUGCUGCUGUCAUUAAUGGAAAAGAGCAGAGUUGAGAGAGGCACUGUGCGUGUAGACAUCUUGGGAUCAUUUCAUCUGUAUGGCCCUUUUCUUUUCUCCUUUUAUGGGAGUUUUUGAUGAUACAGACAAUCUGUUGUUUGGUGGUCAGACUACUGUUGUAUUGUUUGAGUCCUGUUUUUGCAUCUUCCUUUGACUGAUGCUGACUGAUUGAUAGCAAACAGUAAAAGCUUUGGUGAUCUUCCA
This is a long non-coding RNA of Magnolia sinica, 648 nucleotides long. RefSeq lists it as uncharacterized. Lineage: Eukaryota; Viridiplantae; Streptophyta; Magnoliopsida; Magnoliales; Magnoliaceae. The record is from RefSeq and is a predicted model, not a curated record. The transcript is spliced from 4 exons.